This 167-nucleotide non-coding RNA is filed under the name uncultured Prevotella sp. The record is from RNAcentral. Lineage: Bacteria; Pseudomonadati; Bacteroidota; Bacteroidia; Bacteroidales; Prevotellaceae.
AUUGGUUCAUUACCAUCAUGAUUAAAAAGGGAAAGCGGUGUAAAUCCGCUACUGUCCCGCAGCUGUAAGUUGUCUGUCAUAGGUAAACAGAAGCCACUGGUUGAUAUAGAACUGGGAAGGCGUUUACCCUACUUUGGGCAAUAAGUCAGAAGACCUGCCAUUGUAAA